CGGCGUAUGUGUGUUACGCUCGCCGGAAGGAAGGUUAGAUCCCCGAUGAUCAAGUCAGGCCGAACCUCGUAAACACGCGAUACGGACGGGGCGGUAAGCGGCUCCUUAGGAUUUUCAUCUUUUUACGUAGAAUGGAGGAGAUCGACAAUAUAAUAAUUCACUCGUUGCGACAAAUAGGCUGUGACAUUGAGGAGAGUGUAACGAACCUAAGUGGCUUUAGCACCGAAUUGGUGGUGGAAGCGACAGUGAGAUGCUUGGAAGCAAUAAGGCCGGGAUUGGGAUUGUCCACCGUGCUGCCCGUGAACAUGGCAGCGCGUUUUCGAUUGGGUGCCACACUCGCACAAACAUGCACGGAACUCGGAUACAGAGGUGAUAUCGGUUAUCAAACAUUCCUGUACAACUCUGAGGCGGAUUUGCGGAGAGUGUUCAUGUUUCUUAUCGAAAAACUGCCAAAGGAAAGUGAGAAGACUGUAAAUGAGUCUAUUAGUAAAGUUGCGUUGUUAGAAAAAUCAGUUGCGUCGGCUAUAUCGCAAGGACUUUCGAUACCCUGGUUGCCGCAUUAUUGUCACAGAAAGGGAUUCAGGAACAGAGGAAGAGCAAGCACUCCUUACACAACUGUAAAUAUUGAAGUACCAGUAGCGAAUGCAGAGGAUGAUGACAAAGACUAUUAUAUGCGCUAUUUACAACCAGUGCCUGAUCAAAUGCAAAAUAUCUCAUGCUUUUUACCUUCCAUGAUAUCGCAUAACGCAAGAGCGCUUAAUACUUCUUCGAUGGAUAUUAUGGAGCGUAUUAACUGGCUCAACAGUCAACAAUCGACCGAAAAAGUUGCUUAUUCCAGCGCACAUAAUGCCGCCAACGAACUUAGCAAGUUGUCGUCGGAGAACAAGACAACGCCAACUUUAACAGAUUCUCAGGUUAAGCAAAAGUCGGCGUUGCACUCGGUGCUUCUAGAACAAGAAACAUUAAGAAACGAGGCGAAACAGGAGGUGGAAGUGGAGAACAUGAAAGCGGAGUGCGAGAAUCUCAAAUUAAAUAUAGACGAAUUACAAAAUGAGAUUAAAAAGUUAACUAACAGAUUAGCGCAAGCAACGGUAACUGCUCAUAACGAAGAGAAGGAAUUGAGUGCAAACGAGGAGCAAAAGAAGAUCAAAGCGAGAGCGUACGAGCUCUUUCAAGACGGGCCGGAGAAUAUCAAAAAAUUGGAGUCCGCAAUCGAAGCCAGUACGAACAAAUUGAUUAAUUUAGCGAAUCAGUGGGAGAAACAUAGAGUACCUCUGAUUAUAAAAUACAGACAAGAGAGAGAAAAAUAUUCCACGAAAGCUAACGCGAGCCAAAAGAAGCUAGAUGAGAUAAAGUUAUUGAAAGAGAAGGAGAAAGAGCUUCAGGAGGAGUGUCGAAACAAGGAUCAACAGUAUUCGCAACUGGUCACGGAGGUUCAGAAACUUCCGAAGGAGGUGAACAGAUCCGCUUACACUCAACGAAUCUUAGAGAUAAUAAAUAACGUCCGAAAGCAGAGAGACGAGAUCAGCAAGGUUCUGGCGGAUACUCGUGAGAUUCAGAAGGAAAUCAACAUGCUAACCGGCAGACUGGAGAGAUCCUUUACCGUCGUGGACGAACUCAUAUUCAGAGAUGCGAGAACGAACGAAGCCUCGAGAAAGGCGUACAAGUUGUUAGCGACGUUGCACUCGGAUUGCAGCGAGCUUGUGAGCCUGGUCGAGGAAACGGGCGCAACGAUACGAGAAAUUAGAGAUUUGGAGGAACAGAUCGAUUCCGAAUCCGCUAAAAAUGUUGGUGCUAAUUUGGAAAGGAUAACGGCCGAUCUGAAACAGAUGAGGCAGGAAAGUGCCGCGUUAACGGCACAACUCCAAACUAAAGCCUCGUGAUUGUUAUAUACAGUAUGGCACUACUUUACGAUUUGUAAUGUCCAGGACCAGAUAAGAGUCUGAGAUGCAGUUUACAGAAUAUAUAAAUACGAAUACGAUUGAAUGCAUCGAAAAGACCAAUCAUUUUUUAGCUACCGCGAUAAUGCCUGUGAGAGCCUUCACGAAUCUACUGAGUUGACUGCUAAAAAUAAAAAUAAAAGAAAAAUUACGUGCCUUGGCCUGUAGUCGUGUCAGGCACUACGGCUUCCACGGUGCCGAGGCCAAGUAUUAUACGAACACGGGGACACGUUGUUAACAUUUUAACGCUCAAAAAAGAAUCAUGUGUUACCACAAAAAGCCUAAUAAUUUUUUAGCAUCGAGUUCAACUUCCGCAUUUCUCGCAGUUCGAAGAUCUGACACUUAAGGCUGUAAGUAAAAAAAAAAAAAAACAAAAAACAAAAAAAAAACUAAAAAAUAAAAUAUUGAAACAUGACG
Molecule: RNA transcript, 2357 nt
Organism: Pseudomyrmex gracilis
Lineage: Eukaryota; Metazoa; Arthropoda; Insecta; Hymenoptera; Formicidae
Gene name: coiled-coil domain-containing protein 22 homolog
Exons: 8
Source: RefSeq, a predicted model, not a curated record